AUGAUUAGCUAACCAAGAAUCUUUUACUGUCAAUGACCUCAACAAUAAUCAACAUUUCACAUCUUUUACCAUUAGAACUAUUUGUAUGCUCACCUAUUGGUGAUGAAAAGUGCCACACGUCACUUUGUACUUUGUUACAUUUUUUAUGUGCUAAAAUAAAUCUUGACAAUAAUUACUGUAUGUUGUGUAUGUUAACAAUACACAGAAUUAUUUUUAUCCUGUACUGCAACAACUGUCCAGCAGUCCUUGCAAACAGAUGUGCAGCCUCGGCCUGAAGACAUCCGUGGCAGAGAACUCAGACCGAAAGUCCCAACCGAGUCCCAUCAGCAAGGAGGUUGAUUGCCAGAAUGGCCAACCAACCCUUGGACCACCGUGGCCGGACCUGGAACAGGUUUUCCGAUUGAUGGAUUGACAAAAGAACUCCUUUCAAAUGUGCUGCACUUAACAGAUUCCCCUUGUGUUACUUUUACUUUUAUACUUGUGUCAUUUUCAAACUCUUCCAGGUUUACUUUGGAAACAAGGUUGAAUUACUAUCAAAUUCUACAGAGGCCUCCUCAAACCUUAAUAUCUACUUCUCUUUUAGUGAUGAAUGUGAUUACUUUUGAAAUCUUUUGUCAGUAUGUGUCCAACAUCCACUGAAAAGUUUCCGACGAGUUUUGGGUUUUGGGCGGAAAUGUGGUACAAGCUCUUGGAAUCCACUCAUCCAUCCAUUCAUUUUCUUCACCGCUUAUCCUCACGACGAUCGGGCCUAUCCCAGCUGUCAACGGGCAGGAGGCAGGGUACACCCUGAACUGGUUGCCAGCCAAUCGCAGGGCACAUUGAGGCAAACAGCUGCACUCAAAAUCACACCGAGGGGCAAUUUAGAGUUUCCAAUUAAUGUUGCAUGUUUCUGGAAUGUGGGAGGAAACCGGAGUGCCCAUGCAGGCACGGGGAGAACAUGCAAACUCCACACAGGCGGGGUCAGGAUCGAACCCUGGACCUCAGAACCGUGAGGCCAACACUUUACCGUGUCGCCUGAAGACUUCCGCUCAACUCAAAAUUUACAACGUGACCACCAGCUGAAAUAAAACAGCUCCCUGACAACCGCUUGCUGGGGUGGGUGUUUCAUCUCUGGCUGACCAGGCCCACUUGACCUCAACGAUUCCAUCUAGUGACGCUCCAAGAACACCACUUGGAGAGAGUCCGAGUCCUGCUGGCGAUCCAGGCUGGCCAGUGAUGCGUGUGUACUCUGCAAGAGUGACAGGUUCAUGAAGGAUCCCCCAGUCCACAGCCUGAAAAACAAGUUAUGCUCAAUUUGGAUUCAUCAUACAUGGAAUGGAGUUUAGUGAAAAUAAAAAUGAUUUAAAUCUUUAA
Molecule: long non-coding RNA, 1353 nt
Organism: Syngnathoides biaculeatus (alligator pipefish)
Lineage: Eukaryota; Metazoa; Chordata; Actinopteri; Syngnathiformes; Syngnathidae
Exons: 2
Source: RefSeq, a predicted model, not a curated record